GGAUUAGUGGCGAACGGGUGAGGAACACGUGAGAAACCUGCCUCGGAUUUUGGGAUAACAAUUGGAAACGAUUGCUAAUACCGGAUGACGUCGGAGAACCGCAUGGUUCACUGACGAAAGAUAUUUCGGUUUGGGAGGGUCUCGCGGCCUAUCAGCUAGUUGGUGAGGUAAAGGCUCACCAAGGCGACGACGGGUAGCCGGCCUGAGAGGGCGACCGGCCACACUGGGACUGAGACACGGCCCAGACUCC
This 250-nucleotide ribosomal RNA is filed under the name uncultured bacterium. RNAcentral describes it as "partial 16S ribosomal RNA". It matches the Rfam family "Bacterial small subunit ribosomal RNA", at positions 89 to 339 of the family's 1533-position model. The record is from RNAcentral.